GUAGUCUCGCACAGAUGCAUAUCAAUAAGCGGAGGAAAAGAAACUAACAAGGAUUCCCUUAGUAACGGCGAGUGAAGCGGGAAGAGCUCAAAUUUGAAAUCUUCAAGGUUUUACCUUGACGAAUUGUAGUUUAAAGAAGUGUUUUCUGUUGAAGUUUUGGUAAAAGUUCUUUGGAAUAGGACAUCAUAGAGGGUGAGAAUCCCGUAUUUGACCAUUAUUUUCAGCUGUGUGAUACACUUUCAAAGAGUCGGAUUGUUUGGGAAUGCAGUCCAAAAUGGGUGGUAAAUUUCAUCUAAAGCUAAAUAUUGGCGAGAGACCGAUAGCGAACAAGUACCGUGAGGGAAAGAUGAAAAGAACUUUGAAAAGAGAGUUAAACAGUACGUGAAAUUGUCAAAAGGGAAGCGUUUGACACCAGUGUUGUUUUCUCGAAAAUCAAUUAAAAAGAGUUAGAUUUUGUUGUGUAUUGACCUUAACAGCUUGCAUUUCAAUUUUCUUGCUUUUUUUAAUGCACUUUUCGUUUAACAAGUCAACAUCAGUUUCUUUUGUUGUAAAAAGGUCAUUGGAAGGUGGCUUUCUUUUCGGAGAAAGUGUUUAUAGCCUUUGACUCCUGCAAUCGGAGAGACUGAGGUCCGCAGCGUAGAUCCUUCGGGGUUAGAUACAUUUGUGCUAAGUUAUAGCUUUUUAUAGACAACUUGUUGACUAUGAUUAGUCUUGUAGCUUACUCGCUUAUGCUAUUUUACCUACGCUUAGGAUGUUGAAGAUGUAGCACAUCAU
Molecule: ribosomal RNA, 774 nt
Filed under: uncultured Neocallimastigales
Lineage: Eukaryota; Fungi; Neocallimastigomycota; Neocallimastigomycetes; Neocallimastigales
Description: partial large subunit ribosomal RNA
Rfam family: Eukaryotic large subunit ribosomal RNA
Source: RNAcentral